CAUCAAGAGAAAAUCAUACAAUGGAGUAGUUCUCCCCUCAUAAGGCAAUUGCACCGGUCCCAUUGAAAACACCACACCAACAAGACAAGCCAUUGAGUUCCUCUGUUUCAGCACAGGCAGCUGUCAAGCAAGAUGUCAACAAACAAACUUGUAGCCAGGAAUGAACGAUCAUAACACUGGCCCUUGGUCCAAAAAGCAAAAACAAAGACACUUCUAUGGCCCACCC
Molecule: long non-coding RNA, 226 nt
Filed under: Elaeis guineensis (African oil palm)
Lineage: Eukaryota; Viridiplantae; Streptophyta; Magnoliopsida; Arecales; Arecaceae
Description: long non-coding RNA (EGUI_LNC031926)
Source: RNAcentral